This 370-nucleotide ribosomal RNA is filed under the name uncultured bacterium. Its description in RNAcentral is "bacterial SSU rRNA". It matches the Rfam family "Bacterial small subunit ribosomal RNA", at positions 434 to 793 of the family's 1533-position model. The record is from RNAcentral.
UUUCAGUAGGGAGGAAGGUAGUGUAGUUAACACCUGCAUUAUUUGACGUUACCUACAGAAGAAGCACCGGCUAACUCCGUGCCAGCAGCCGCGGUAAUACGGAGGGUGCGAGCGUUAAUCGGAAUUACUGGGCGUAAAAGCGCAUGCAGGCGGCCUGUUAAGUCAGAUGUGAAAAGCCCGGGCUUAAACCUCGGAAAUUGCAUUUGAAAACUGGCAGGCUAGAGUCUUGUAGAGGGGGUAGAAUUUCAGGUGUAGCGGUGAAAAUGCGUAGAGAUCUGAAGGAAUACCAGUGGCGAAGGCGGCCCCUGGACAAAGACUGACGCUCAGAUGCGAAAGCGUGGGGAGCAAACAGGAUUAGAUACCCUGGUAG